This 334-nucleotide ribosomal RNA is filed under the name uncultured eukaryote. RNAcentral describes it as "partial 18S ribosomal RNA". It matches the Rfam family "Eukaryotic small subunit ribosomal RNA", at positions 1470 to 1796 of the family's 1831-position model. The record is from RNAcentral.
CCCUUAGAUGUCCGGGGCCGCACGCGCGCUACACUGAAGGAAUCAGCGUGGCUUUCUCCCUGACCCGAAAGGGUUGGGAAACCCGUUGAAUCUCCUUCGUGAUAGGGAUUGGGGCUUGAAAUUGUUCCCCAUGAACGAGGAAUUCCCAGUAAGCGCGAGUCAUAAGCUCGCGUUGAUUACGUCCCUGCCCUUUGUACCCACCGCCCGUCGCUACUACCGAUUGAACGGUUUAGUGAGGGCCUCGGAUUGGUCUCGGCCCGCUCUUUACCGGGCGGCGCCGUUGGUCGAGAAGACGCUCGAACUUGAUCGUUUAGAGGAAGUAAAAGUCGUAACA